RNAcentral lists this ribosomal RNA (415 nucleotides) under uncultured bacterium. Its description in RNAcentral is "bacterial SSU rRNA". It matches the Rfam family "Bacterial small subunit ribosomal RNA", at positions 355 to 787 of the family's 1533-position model. The record is from RNAcentral.
UGGGGAAUAUUGCACAAUGGGGGAAACCCUGAUGCAGCGACGCCGCGUGAGUGAAGAAGUAUUUCGGUAUGUAAAGCUCUAUCAGCAGGGAAGAAAGUGACGGUACCUGACUAAGAAGCCCCGGCUAACUACGUGCCAGCAGCCGCGGUAAUACGUAGGGGGCAAGCGUUAUCCGGAUUUACUGGGUGUAAAGGGAGCGUAGACGGCACCGCAAGUCUGAAGUGAAAGCCCCGGGCUUAACCCGGGAACUGCUUUGGAAACUGUGGGGCUGGAGUGCUGGAGAGGUAAGCGGAAUUCCUAGUGUAGCGGUGAAAUGCGUAGAUAUUAGGAGGAACACCAGUGGCGAAGGCGGCUUACUGGACAGUCACUGACGUUGAGGCUCGAAAGCGUGGGGAGCAAACAGGAUUAGAUACCC